RNAcentral lists this long non-coding RNA (855 nucleotides) under Brachypodium distachyon (stiff brome). RNAcentral's name for it is "long non-coding RNA (BDIS_LNC002048)". The record is from RNAcentral. Lineage: Eukaryota; Viridiplantae; Streptophyta; Magnoliopsida; Poales; Poaceae.
UAAGUUACUAUUUUUUAUUAUCUUUUUUUACUGAGUCUAAAAUUUAAAACACGUCUUUCAAAUCUCAUCUCUCUUCAAAGUAAGUUGACUUUAUUACCAUUUUUUUACCGCCGCACUCAAAUAGAUGUCAUGAUAUAUGUUUAUCAUUGCAUUAGAUAAAAUUCACAAGCACCGAAAUAUAUUGUAAUUAGUAGCAGAGAUUAUACUUAAAAGACCCCAAUAGAUCAGAAGUAUUUUUCUGUCCAUACUUGUACCGAAAUUGCUAGCUUCUGACCCAAACCCAAAGUAUCUUUUUACAUAAAAAAAUAUAUGAUGGCAUCCUCUCCAUCAUAUUGUACAAUCAAGACAAUAGCACCUGAUUUGCACCCCCAAAUUGUGAUUUUUCUAGCACUCAUUAUUUAUGUUUCUAUCAGAGCCAUUUUCUGGCCAUCAUUAAUACUACUUUACAUUAAACGAACUUCAAUCAACAAACAAAAAUUAGAGACGCCGAAUUACACUCAGCAAGUUUGAGUCGACGAAAGCUUCAAGUAACUUAAAAAAAAAAGUAUCAUCAACAGCUCCUUGGUCUAGCUUGUAUACAUUGGAAUUCUUCUCCUUCACAAUCUGGCCAAUUACAAUUAUCUAUACCCAAUCACUUUGGUCGAGUGCAAGAAAUAGGAAAGCCAUUACACACAUUUUUCCAUAAUGUAUCACACGUUUAAAAUAGAGAUCGUAUCUAACCAUAACCGUGAUACUCCGGACCACUCUCUGAAAAAAUAAACAAAAGAGUGUAACUAAAAUUAUCAACUAUUCUUGCUCUAUGAUUGAAAAAAUCAAUUCAUUCAUACUCGCAAUUUAUCUAGUUUCACCCCUGUC